Molecule: transfer RNA, 73 nt
Filed under: Haliotis rufescens (red abalone)
Lineage: Eukaryota; Metazoa; Mollusca; Gastropoda; Lepetellida; Haliotidae
Description: tRNA-Asn
Rfam family: tRNA
About the family: Transfer RNA (tRNA) molecules are approximately 80 nucleotides in length. Their secondary structure includes four short double-helical elements and three loops (D, anti-codon, and T loops).
Source: RNAcentral
GUCUCUGUGGCGAAAUUGUUAGCGCGUUCGGCUGUUAACCGAAAGGUUGGUGGUUCGAGCCCACCCAGGGACG